Molecule: ribosomal RNA, 477 nt
Filed under: uncultured bacterium
Lineage: Bacteria
Description: partial 16S ribosomal RNA
Rfam family: Bacterial small subunit ribosomal RNA
Source: RNAcentral
GACGAACGCUGGCGGCGUGCUUAACACAUGCAAGUCGAACGGUAAGGCCCUUCGGGGUACACGAGUGGCGAACGGGUGAGUAACACGUGGGUGAUCUGCCCUGCACUUCGGGAUAAGCCUGGGAAACUGGGUCUAAUACCGGAUAGGACAACUGCCUGCAUGGGUGGUGGUGGAAAGCUUUUGCGGUGUGGGAUGGGCCCGCGGCCUAUCAGUUUGUUGGUGGGGUGAUGGCCUACCAAGGCGACGACGGGUAGCCGGCCUGAGAGGGUGAGCCGCCACACUGUGAGUGAGAUACGGCCCAGACGCCUACGGGAGGCAGCAGUGGGGAAUAUUGCACAAUGGGCGCAAGCCUGAUGCAGCGACGCCGCGUGAGGGAUUACGGCCUUCGGGUUGUAAACCUCUUUCAGCAUCGACGAAGCGAAAGUGACGGUAGGUGCAGAAGAAGGACCGGCCAACUACGUGCCAGCCGCCGCAUAA